Molecule: ribosomal RNA, 640 nt
Filed under: uncultured bacterium
Lineage: Bacteria
Description: bacterial SSU rRNA
Rfam family: Bacterial small subunit ribosomal RNA
Source: RNAcentral
AAAGAAUUUCGGUAUGGGAUGGGGAUGCGUUCCAUUAGUUAGUUGGCGGGGUAACGGCCCACCAAGACAACGAUGGAUAGGGGUUCUGAGAGGAAGGUCCCCCACAUUGGAACUGAGACACGGUCCAAACUCCUACGGGAGGCAGCAGUGAGGAAUAUUGGUCAAUGGACGAGAGUCUGAACCAGCCAAGUAGCGUGAAGGAUGACUGCCCUAUGGGUUGUAAACUUCUUUUAUAUGGGAAUAAAACGUUCCACGUGUGGAAUUUUGUAUGUACCAUAUGAAUAAGGAUCGGCUAACUCCGUGCCAGCAGCCGCGGUAAUACGGAGGAUCCGAGCGUUAUCCGGAUUUAUUGGGUUUAAAGGGAGCGUAGGUGGAUUGUUAAGUCAGUUGUGAAAGUUUGCGGCUCAACCGUAAAAUUGCAGUUGAAACUGGCAGUCUUGAGUACAGUAGAGGUGGGCGGAAUUCGUGGUGUAGCGGUGAAAUGCUUAGAUAUCACGAAGAACUCCGAUUGCGAAGGCAGCUCACUGGACUGCAACUGACACUGAGGCUCGAAAGUGUGGGUAUCAAACAGGAUUAGAUACCCUGGUAGUCCACACAGUAAACGAUGAAUACUCGCUGUUUGCGAUAUACAGCAAGCGGC